This is a long non-coding RNA of Zophobas morio, 114 nucleotides long. RefSeq lists it as uncharacterized. NCBI's taxonomy places the organism in Eukaryota, Metazoa, Arthropoda, Insecta, Coleoptera, Tenebrionidae. The record is from RefSeq and is a predicted model, not a curated record. The transcript has 2 exons.
GUUCGGUGUUGGUAAAAUACACAACGACUAACGACACGAGCAGGACAUCGAGUAAACAUGGAAUUAGCCGUUCACUGGAUGGACUAUAUUAUGUUCCUAACUUGAGGAAGUAAA